AUUUUGUACAAUGGUCGCAAGCCUGAUCCAGCCAUGCCGCGGGAGUGAAGAAGGCCUUCGGGUGGUAAAGCUCUUUCUGACGUACAGAAACCGCGCAGGCUAAUACCCUGCGCGGAUGACGGUACCGUCAUAAGACGCACCGUCUACCUACGUGCCAGCACCCGCGGUAAUACGUAGGGUGCGAGCGUUAAUCGGAAUUACUGGGCGUAAAUCGUGCGCAGGCGGUUGAUUAAGACAGGCGUGAAAUCCCCGGGCUUAACCUGGGAACUGCGCUUGUGACUGGUCAGCUAGAGUACGGCAGAGGGGGGUGGAAUUCCACGUGUAGCAGUGAAAUGCGUAGAGAUGUGGAGGAACACCGAUGGCGAAGGCAGCCCCCUGGGCCGAUACUGACGCUCAUGCACGAAAGCGUGGGUAGCAAACAGG
RNAcentral lists this ribosomal RNA (423 nucleotides) under uncultured bacterium. RNAcentral describes it as "partial 16S ribosomal RNA". It matches the Rfam family "Bacterial small subunit ribosomal RNA", at positions 361 to 776 of the family's 1533-position model. The record is from RNAcentral.